UGUGCCCAUGGUUUUCUCUCCGGAACGGGGGCGGUUAAGAGUCAGGAAUCUCUGCCUGGCAUGCAGUGUAUCUUCCCACCAUCAGGAUCGCUCGUCGUCUAAGUCCGCGAGUUAACUCCAGACGCUGAGCGUCUUUCUGUGAUUCAUUUUUGUUGCAAAGCAGCUAAAUCUCAGCCAGUCACAACAUUCAAGCCUCAGCCAAUCAUAGACUGCAGCUGAUCAGAUCAUGCCCAUAUAAGCUGAGGGAUAAAGAAUUAGGCCAGGACUGGGAAGAGAGGGCGUCAGUGAAGAUGGAGCACCUUCCAUGUAAGGAGUUAUUAUCUUCUCCUGGAAGGCUUCCCCUGACCCUACUUCUGGCCUCAUCACAAAAUGUUCCUGAAGGAUCUCAUUGUGAUCAAUGUGCUAGUACAUCGUGCUCCUUGAAGGUCCCAUUUGUGAAAUCCUUCCGGAGGGAUGUUGUGCUGAGGACUAUCAAAUGAGGUACUCCUUGCCCAAUGCAUUGACCACGUGGAUCAAGCUAUAUCCAUGAGACUUCCGUGUUUUCCUGAGAAUUGCUUACCUCAUAAAACUGUUGAAGGAUUAAGAAGAAACAUGCACCCAGACAUUGAAGUCAAGUCCAUGUGCCCAGCCUCCCUUCUGGGGUAUGGCAACCUUCUGGAGUGAAGACCAUCCAAAUCGGGAAAGAACUUUAGGUUCUGAAGAUAUUUGAAAUUUUGAUGUUAUCAUCCAAUGAUUUGCUCCUAGCUUCAAGUUAUAUAUGAUAAAUAUGACCUUGUCAAAAUGAAUUUCAGCACCUUAUAAUACAUGGAACCUUAAGGACAUUCCAAAUGAACCUUAGCAGUAUAAGAAAUAAAGGUAAAAGAAAAUUAAACCUGGUGGUUAAACAAUUUUCCUUUACUGAAUCACAGUUGUUAUUGUAGAAGUAGCCAUUUGAGCUGAGAGUUCACCCAACCUUGUCCUGUGUGAGCUUAUGAAGGCUAAAUGGAGACACUUACAUAAAGAGGAUGUUCUUUGUACCAGUUCAUGU
Non-coding RNA from Ictidomys tridecemlineatus (thirteen-lined ground squirrel), 1027 nucleotides. NCBI's taxonomy places the organism in Eukaryota, Metazoa, Chordata, Mammalia, Rodentia, Sciuridae. The record is from RefSeq and is a predicted model, not a curated record.